UGGCAGACGGGUGAGUAACACGUGGGAACGUGCCCUAAGGUUCGGAACAACUCCGGGAAACUGGAGCUAAUACCGAAUGUGACCGAGAGGUGAAAGAUUCAUCGCCUUGGGAUCGGCCCGCGUCUGAUUAGGUAGUUGGUGGGGUAAUGGCCUACCAAGCCUGCGAUCAGUAGCUGGUCUGAGAGGAUGAUCAGCCACACUGGGACUGAGACACGGCCCAG
RNAcentral lists this ribosomal RNA (221 nucleotides) under uncultured bacterium. RNAcentral describes it as "partial 16S ribosomal RNA". It matches the Rfam family "Bacterial small subunit ribosomal RNA", at positions 96 to 334 of the family's 1533-position model. The record is from RNAcentral.